GACACUUUGGCCGAGCGGUUAAGGCGAUAGCCUGCUAAGCUAUUGGGAUUUCCCGCGUGAGUUCAAAUCUCACAGGUGUCG
This is a non-coding RNA of Stentor coeruleus, 81 nucleotides long. Lineage: Eukaryota; Ciliophora; Heterotrichea; Heterotrichida; Stentoridae. The record is from Rfam.